UGAGUAACACGUGGGCAAUCUGCCCUGCACUUCGGGAUAAGCCUGGGAAACUGGGUCUAAUACCGGAUAGGACCUUUAGGCGCAUGCCUUUUGGUGGAAAGCUUUUGCGGUGUGGGAUGGGCCCGCGGCCUAUCAGCUUGUUGGUGGGGUGAUGGCCUACCAAGGCGACGACGGGUAGCCGGCCUGAGAGGGUGUCCGGCCACACUGGGACUGAGAUACGGCCCAGACUCCUACGGGAGGCAGCAGUGGGGAAUAUUGCACAAUGGGCGCAAGCCUGAUGCAGCGACGCCGCGUGGGGGAUGACGGCCUUCGGGUUGUAAACCUCUUUCACCAUCGACGAAGGUCCGGGUUUUCUCGGAUUGACGGUAGGUGGAGAAGAAGCACCGGCCAACUACGUGCCAGCAGCCGCGGUAAUACGUAGGGUGCGAGCGUUGUCCGGAAUUACUGGGCGUAAAGAGCUCGUAGGUGGUUUGUCGCGUUGUUCGUGAAAUCUCACGGCUUAACUGUGAGCGUGCGGGCGAUACGGGCAGACUAGAGUACUGCAGGGGAGACUGGAAUUCCUGGUGUAGCGGUGGAAUGCGCAGAUAUCAGGAGGAACACCGGUGGCGAAGGCGGGUCUCUGGGCAGUAACUGACGCUGAGGAGCGAAAGCGUGGGGAGCGAACAGGAUUAGAUACCCUGGUAGUCCACGCCCGUAAACGGUGGGUACUAGGUGUGGGGUUUCCUUCCUUGGGAUCCCGUGCCGUAGCUAACGCAUUAAGUACCCCCGCCUGGGGGAGUACGGGCCGCAAAGGCUAAAACUCAAAGGAAUUUGACGGGGGGGCCCCGCACAA
This 832-nucleotide ribosomal RNA is filed under the name Mycobacterium sp. RNAcentral describes it as "bacterial SSU rRNA". It matches the Rfam family "Bacterial small subunit ribosomal RNA", at positions 107 to 928 of the family's 1533-position model. Lineage: Bacteria; Bacillati; Actinomycetota; Actinomycetes; Mycobacteriales; Mycobacteriaceae. The record is from RNAcentral.